GGGAAUGAGCAAGAUCAAGGGCACCAGGUUCGCAGGCUUCUGAUCGAGCAAGUCGGGCAUGGCGGUUGCGUCUGGCGUUGGAAGCUGAGGCCCUGCAGAUUCCAGGUCUCCAGGUACUCCUUUCUCCACUCUUCCCGUAGCUCCUCAGAAUCGCGGUACCAUUGCCUGAUAAGUAAAUUCAGAUCAUAAGUGAGGCCGUCAGGGUUUACCUGCAGAGAACAUGACACAGUAACGCAAGAUUUUCUGUUGUACAAGCAGUCGCCAACUAAUCAGGGAGUCUAAUAAAUGAAUUAAUCAGUGAAUCAAGGGUAAAGAGCCUCAGCUCACCAUAUACCCUAUUCAACAGAUGCAUAUCAUUCUCAGAGAAAGAAAACGCAGAUGUAUAGCAGGCAUUCUGUCGAACAGCUCACGUGCAUGAAGAAGGAGCGAGGCGGUGCUCACCUGCAGACGAGGGAGCAGCUGAG
Molecule: long non-coding RNA, 464 nt
Filed under: Brachypodium distachyon (stiff brome)
Lineage: Eukaryota; Viridiplantae; Streptophyta; Magnoliopsida; Poales; Poaceae
Description: long non-coding RNA (BDIS_LNC005043)
Source: RNAcentral